RNAcentral lists this ribosomal RNA (427 nucleotides) under uncultured bacterium. RNAcentral describes it as "bacterial SSU rRNA". It matches the Rfam family "Bacterial small subunit ribosomal RNA", at positions 355 to 775 of the family's 1533-position model. The record is from RNAcentral.
UCGAGAAUUUUUCACAAUGGGCGCAAGCCUGAUGGAGCGACGCCGCGUGGGGGAUGAAGGGUUUCGAUCCGUAAACCCCUGUCAUUUGCGAACAAACCUUGAUUGUGAAUAGCGAUCGAGCUGGUUGUAGCGGAAGAGGAAGGGACGGCUAACUCUGUGCCAGCAGCCGCGGUAAUACAGAGGUCCCAAGCGUUGUUCGGAUUCACUGGGCGUAAAGGGUGCGUAGGUGGUCGGUGAAGUUCGGUGUGAAAGCUCGGAGCUCAACUCCGAAACGGCAUUGAAAACUCAUCGGAUGGAGGGUCGGAGGGGAGACUGGAAUUCUCGGUGUAGCAGUGAAAUGCGUAGAUAUCGAGAGGAACACCAGUGGCGAAGGCGAGUCUCUGGACGACUCCUGACACUGAGGCACGAAAGCCAGGGGAGCAAACAG